CAUCGGUAUGGGAUGGGGUCGCGUCCUAUCAGCUUGAUGGCGGGGUAACGGCCCACCAUGGCUUCGACGGGUAGCCGGCCUGAGAGGGCGACCGGCCACAUUGGGACUGAGAUACGGCCCAGACUCCUACGGGAGGCAGCAGUGGGGAAUAUUGCACAAUGGGCGCAAGCCUGAUGCAGCGACGCCGCGUGCGGGAUGACGGCCUUCGGGUUGUAAACCGCUUUUGACUGGGAGCAAGCCCUUCGGGGUGAGUGUACCUUUCGAAUAAGCACCGGCUAACUACGUGCCAGCAGCCGCGGCAAUACGUAGGGUGCAAGCGUUAUCCGGAAUUAUUGGGCGUAAAGGGCUCGUAGGCGGUUCGUCGCGUCCGGUGUGAAAGUCCAUCGCUUAACGGUGGAUCCGCGCCGGGUACGGGCGGG
Molecule: ribosomal RNA, 419 nt
Filed under: uncultured Bifidobacterium sp.
Lineage: Bacteria; Bacillati; Actinomycetota; Actinomycetes; Bifidobacteriales; Bifidobacteriaceae
Description: bacterial SSU rRNA
Rfam family: Bacterial small subunit ribosomal RNA
Source: RNAcentral